GGGAUAAUAGUUAAUUAUAACAUUUAAUUUGCACUUAAAAAGUAUUGACUUAUCAAUUUAUCUU
This 64-nucleotide transfer RNA is filed under the name Hermerius prionoides. Its description in RNAcentral is "tRNA-Ala". Lineage: Eukaryota; Metazoa; Arthropoda; Insecta; Coleoptera; Cerambycidae. The record is from RNAcentral.